This 505-nucleotide ribosomal RNA is filed under the name uncultured bacterium. RNAcentral describes it as "partial 16S ribosomal RNA". It matches the Rfam family "Bacterial small subunit ribosomal RNA", at positions 899 to 1397 of the family's 1533-position model. The record is from RNAcentral.
ACUCAAAUGAAUAGACGGGGGCCCGCACAAGCGGCGGAGCGCGUUGCUUAAUUCGAUGCAAAGCGAAGAACCUUACCCAGGCUUGACAUUCUGGAAGUAGGCGCCCGAAAAGGUUGCCCAUCCGUAAAGUCGGAAACCAGGACAGGUGUUGCAUGGCUGUCGUCAGCUCGUGCCGUGAGGUGUUGGGUUAAGUCCCGCAACGAGCGCAACCCUCGCCCUAUGUUGCUACCGGGUUAUGCCGGGCACUCAUAGGGGACUGCCGGGGAAACCCCGGAGGAAGGAGAGGAUGACGUCAAGUCCGCAUGGCCCUUAAGUCUGGGGCUGCAAACGCGCUACAAUGCGCGGUACAGCGGGUUGCGAUACCGCAAGGUGGAGCCAAUCCCGAAAAGCCGCGCCCAGUUCGGAUCGGGGUCUGCAACCCGACCCCGUGAAGUUGGAGUCGCUAGUAAUGGCAGAUCAGCAUGCUGCCGUGAAUGCGUUCUCGGGCCUUGUACACACCGCCCGU